AGCCCGGCCGCCAGCGGCGCUCGCAAAGUUCGGAUCCGCAAGGACCGGGCCAGCGGGACGUCAGGACGUGGCAGGGUGCACUUUCUCCGCGGUCGAGUGCUACGACCGGUUUCGAGGCGGUCAGAAGCCCGGCGGAAAGGUAGCGCCGCCCUUCGGGGUGUCGUGUUAUAGGCCGCCGCGGUGGACUCGCCGCGAGACCGAGGACGCUUGCCGCGCCGAGCGGUCCCGGGCCGUCUUGGGAGGUUCGACCUCGGCUGCACUGCUCCGCAGAGCACCGUAACCGCCGCCCUAGCACGGGUCCGGAGACUGCCGGCGCCUCGGGUCAGUAGCG
Molecule: ribosomal RNA, 331 nt
Filed under: Corbicula sp. form C/S
Lineage: Eukaryota; Metazoa; Mollusca; Bivalvia; Venerida; Cyrenidae
Description: partial 28S ribosomal RNA
Source: RNAcentral